UACGGAGGGAGCUAGCGUUGUUCGGAAUUACUGGGCGUAAAGCGUACGUAGGCGGUUAUUCAAGUUAGAGGUGAAAGCCCGGAGCUCAACUCCGGAACUGCCUUUAAGACUGCAUCGCUAGAAUCAUGGAGAGGUGAGUGGAAUUCCGAGUGUAGAGGUGAAAUUCGUAGAUAUUCGGAAGAACACCAUUGGCGAAGGCGACUCACUGGACAUGUAUUGACGCUGAGGUGCGAAAGCGUGGGGAGCAAACAGG
This 253-nucleotide ribosomal RNA is filed under the name uncultured bacterium. RNAcentral's name for it is "partial 16S ribosomal RNA". It matches the Rfam family "Bacterial small subunit ribosomal RNA", at positions 524 to 776 of the family's 1533-position model. The record is from RNAcentral.